AUGGCCACUGGAUGGAGUGCCACUGCCGUGGAUCCUCACCGGCAUCACCCUCGCCCGCCGUCCCGUGACCCUGAUCCGACUGGCACUCCGCCGCCUUGCCCAUUGAUUUCUGCCGCGCUGCGCUACUUCGCUCACGUCGCCCCGGCCCCCUUCCGCUCCGUCCACGCGAGCUCCUCAAGUUCCGCGUCCGCCGUGGCCGUGGAGCACAUCGGCGUCGUCCUCGCUAGCGGCGCAAAGUCCCUCUGCUUCCCUGCUCCAAAUCAACCGUCAAGCGUCGCUGCCUCCCCACGUGCCGUCCCGGAGUUCCGUGCCAAGCCGCCGGCUUCCUUCGCGCCGUUCCUGCCGCCCGAGUCACCGGCGAGCUCCUCCCGCUCCGUCGCCUCUUCUGCUUCAAGCCACUCGGUCCGCAUCGAUGGUGGAGCCGUGAUGGUCUCUUCUCGGCGGGGUCCAGGAAGUGAACACAGUGUUGGAGUUAUGCUUGAACGUGCCGAUGAUACCAGUGCAGGUGACACAGCUGAGCUCAAGUGGGAGCUCGAUGAAGAUCGUGUUCGUUGUGUUGUUUCGUUUCCAGUUGAUCAGUAG
This 582-nucleotide ribosomal RNA is filed under the name Triticum aestivum (bread wheat). RNAcentral's name for it is "partial small subunit ribosomal RNA". The record is from RNAcentral. Lineage: Eukaryota; Viridiplantae; Streptophyta; Magnoliopsida; Poales; Poaceae.